RNAcentral lists this ribosomal RNA (253 nucleotides) under uncultured bacterium. RNAcentral describes it as "partial 16S ribosomal RNA". It matches the Rfam family "Bacterial small subunit ribosomal RNA", at positions 524 to 776 of the family's 1533-position model. The record is from RNAcentral.
UACGUAGGUGGCAAGCGUUGUCCGGAUUUACUGGGCGUAAAGGGCGUGCAGGCGGUCUGUUUAGUCUAGGGUGAAAGCUCCCGGCUCAACUGGGAGAGGUCCUUGGAUACUGGCAGACUUGAGGGAGGUAGAGGAGAGUGGAAUUCCGGGUGUAGCGGUGGAAUGCGUAGAGAUCCGGAAGAACACCGGAGGCGAAGGCGGCUUGCUGGGCGUAGUCUGACGCUGAGGCGCGAAAGCGUGGGGAGCGAACAGG